GGAUUCCCCUAGUAACGGCGAGCGAACCGGGAAGAGCUCAAAUUUGUAAUCUGGCGUCCUCCGGGCGUCCGAGUUGUAAUCUACAGGAUCGUUUUCCGCGCCGGACCGUGUCCAAGUCCCUUGGAAUAGGGUAUCAAAGAGGGUGACAGUCCCGUACUUGACACGACGACCGGUGCUAUGUGACACGUCUCCCACGAGUCGAGGUGUUUGUUAAUGCAGCUCACAACGGGCGGUAUAUUCCAUCUAAGGCUAAUUAUUGGCGAGAGACCGAUAGCGAACAAGUACCGUGAGGACAGAUGGAAAAGCUCUUUGCAAAGAGAGUUAAACAGU
This 330-nucleotide ribosomal RNA is filed under the name Tremella sp. Its description in RNAcentral is "partial large subunit ribosomal RNA". It matches the Rfam family "Eukaryotic large subunit ribosomal RNA", at positions 72 to 396 of the family's 3401-position model. The record is from RNAcentral. Lineage: Eukaryota; Fungi; Basidiomycota; Tremellomycetes; Tremellales; Tremellaceae.